UUUGUCUGUAAAAGCAAGAUCAUGUAGACAAUGGCAAGAAGUUUCCUUCCUUCCUUCCUUCCUUCCUUCCUUCCUUCCUUCCUUCCUUCCUUCCUUCCUUCCUUCCUUCCUUCCUUCCUUCCUUCCUUCCUUCCUUCCUUCCUUCCUUCCUUCCAUUUGAAAAGGUGGCAUGGUUUGCAGGGACUUUUUUGUUGUCCUGGCAUGUUUCUGCUCUCGAUGUACCCAUGGUAAGCUUGCUGAUAGUUAGAGGUUAAUGAAGUACUCUUAAUACUGACUCAGUGGGGUUGACAGGCCUUGUUAAAUGUGCCACAUAAGGUAGGGAGCUCUGGUCAAUGCUUUCCUGUUCAGAGGGAAAUGGAGUCUAACACUUGAAUAUUUCAGAUAUCUCAGGAAUGGUCAAAGAGAUUACAAAGCUGCAGUCCAUUUUUGUUGCAAUUGUUUGAGCUGCUGCAUGAAUAACAUGGGUAUGCAUGUUCAAGAGGGUGUUGUAUGACCACAGAAAUUUCUCCUGUCCACACUCUUGUUCAGUAAUUGAUUAUUGCUUGCCUGCUUCCUGGUCUUCAGAGUCACCAGGUCUGACCGCUGUUAACCUCCAAACUUACCUCUAGGCUACCCUUUCUUGCUGCUUAUCCAAAGAUGAAAUCUCCCUGUGUUGCUGAAGUGCCUGAGUGCCUGACCAUGGGCAGUAUGUGGGCGACCGAGCGUCACCAUGCCCAGCAGACACAAGGCUCCCCCAGCCCUUCUGCCUGAGCGUUUCCGGGCACAGCUCACGGAGAUCUGCUCUGAAGAAGUGGACUCAUCUGUCGUGCAGAGGAAGGAGAAAUAAAAACCUCUGGUGUUAUCUUUUUCCCUACAAAAUAUUAUGGGGAAAGGCUAUGGAGAGAACUUUCCCUGCUGGAUGCCGUCUUCAAUGUGGGUACCUCCAUUUCAGAGCUGGGAUCUGCACCUGGACCUCCCGACAGUCACGUUACCUUCAGGGUACGGGUAUUGAAGAUGAUAUACAGCCAUAAUCUUAGAUUAUGAUGAAGCUGCACCUAAACUUCUGCCAGUAUCGCUUGCUGCACUCAUCCAGCUGCGGAGAGACUGCUGGAAGGAAAGACCAUGUCCAGGGUCCCUCAUCCCCGUGCCAGGAUGCACAGGAGGGCUGCCAGGUAACCUUCUGACACCCUCAACCUCUGCUCAAAAACAGCUAAGUCAAACAAAGUACUCAGUGUUGUUGAAUAAACCUGUAUUACACAGAGUCUGCAUGUUGCCCAAAAGCAGUUAUCCAAGCUCUAUUUGCCAGAGAUGAAAAUGUUAAGGUUCUUUCUGGUCUGAGUCUGCAGCUGUGAAAAAAUGACAUCCAUACAGGUCCAAACAAGAGGGUUGCAGACUAAAUGAAGUUGUGUAUCCUCCCCUGUCAUCAUGGAAAUCUGGACCGACUUCAACACAUACUUAUUUCAAAACAUACAAAUAAGGCAAUCAGAUACUGAUGUUCAGAGCAUUUACCUCCCUGUUUACCCAAAUUUUGUUGAAGAGCCCUUGAGAUAAGUAGGAGUGCUGCAGCCACAGGUGAAAUCUCUCCUUUCUUUAGCCACCUGUAGAUUGCUAUGAUAUAUUCUUGUUUGAAACAGCAGCUGCCCAAAAGGAGGUGCUUGUGUGAAUGCUACCUUGAGGGGGGAGACAGUGCAAGGGAGGAUGAAAACUUCUCUGACGUUUUUCAGAAUACAGUUAUGCCCUGAGAAUCACUACUUUACUCCUGUUCCGCAACACAUAAAUACACAUCAGCUGUGUGGUAAACCAAAUUCUCUCAGGAGCUUGUCCUGAAAGAGGGAAAGACAUGAUGAUUUAAAGGCUACAUCUGCAGUUCUUGCAGCUGCUUCGGUUCCUGCUGCUGGAGGAAAAUGCCCUGCAUCAACAGCCUCUUGACGCAGGGGCUUGGAGCAGCUCCUGGGGCAAAAACCCAAGGGAGUCAAGCACUGUCACUAGCCUGUUGGACAGGAGAGGAGUGGGAAGCCACCAUGCAGCUCACAGGAACGCGGUCACUUCUGCUGUCAGAUGCCCCUUCUGGCAUUACCUUUCCUGCUGCGUUGCAAGUGGAAGAGAACUCCAACCCAUGUAACACUAGUUGCAUUCUCCAGAAUCUAUGGAAAGUAAGAUUAGACCAGGCAACUUCCUAAACAAAGUGAAGGUCAGCAUGGUGUGGUACUGGCUUGGCAUACCCUUGUAUUAAAACUCACAGGAGGAGCUGUUGAAGGCUGUGAAGCCUGCUGGAAUGUCUUCAGUUGUAGGAAACACGUGCGACAUUUCUGUAAGAAGGCAGCUGAAGAUGUGAGGAUGUUCUGGAAUGAAGGCUUGCACAACCUCUGUGUUUUGACGUUAUUCUCCUCGGUGAUUGACUGGGAAUGUAGCAGCUCCAGCUACCGCAGCAGUGUGGUGUGAUUCCUUCCAGCCUAUGUGUAAAAACCACCUUCGUAUUAAACAUCGCUCCUCCUUAACAAGCUAGUAACACAUCUAUGAUUUCAGUAAUUAAAAUAAGUUUUUAUUGCUUUUUGCUUAUAUUAACACCCCAGAGCAAGCAGACAAGUCAGGUAGGCCAGCAGCUACCGGGACUCUGGGAACAGGGCUUAGGCUCCCUGCUUCCUCUGCAGUGAGAAAAAGAGGCAGGACCAGAUGCUAAACGUAUUAAAUGCCUUAAUCCUAUGGAAUUUGAUGGAAAUUGGUGCCUAAAUACUGCGGAGAUCUAUUUUAAUCUCUAUAUACCUUAGUUCUUCAUCUGUCAUAUAAGGGUAAUAAUUAUACAGCGAAGUAUAACAACAAAUGCAAUAAGGAAAACAAAGUGCUCAGCUACUAUAAUCGCUAAAUGUAAAAAAAAAAAUAUCUAAGGAAGACAAUAUGCUUAUUUCUUUUUUAUGAAUCUUGUUUAUGUAGUACUAUCCAAUUUUAGAGAGGAGUGUUUACCUGCUUGUUGAUUAAUUUACAGUUGUGUUCCCCAGCUGCAAUCAGAGCACAGUUUCUCUUUCAGAAGUUUAUUAAAAGCAAGCAUCAAAGAGAAGGUAAAUGCAUGCCAAAUCUUGCAACGAUAUUGGCAUGCUCCCAAAGUUGCAAAAUAAUGAAGAAAAUGUUGAGAUUGGGACUCUGUGCCCAUUUUAGCAACAUGCCUUGUAAGUGCAAUUAAAGCUGCCACUCAAGAAACACAACAAAAACAGAAAAACAAAGGAGAGCUAAAAGAUAACAUAGAAACGUUCUGAAGUAUCAUCUUAUACCUGCAGUUUAAUUCUUAAAAGGGAGAGGCCUCUCAGUGUGAAAGCGUUUUUGUUAUUCUUUAGUCUCCACCAUCAUAUUUUUUGCAGAAGUUACUCAUGACAGAUGCAACUUUCCUGGCUCCAAAGGUAGGGAAAAUAAAACAUAACAUAUUGCAAAAACUUAUGAAAACAAAACAACUGGAUUUCCCAUGCUGUGUCCCUGUUCUGGCUGUAAUAGGCUGAAACCAAGCUUUCUGACUUGUUACCCUCAAAGGACAUUGCACAGUAAGGUACAAAAUCUUACAGUAACAUUUAA
Long non-coding RNA from Cygnus olor (mute swan), 3540 nucleotides. RefSeq lists it as uncharacterized. The transcript has 8 exons. The record is from RefSeq and is a predicted model, not a curated record. Lineage: Eukaryota; Metazoa; Chordata; Aves; Anseriformes; Anatidae.